UACGUAGGGUGCAAGCGUUGUCCGGAAUUAUUGGGCGUAAAGAGCUCGUAGGCGGCUUGUCGCGUCGACUGUGAAAACCCGCGGCCCAACUGUGGGCUUGCAGUCGAUACGGGCAGGCUGGAGUUCGGUAGGGGAGACUGGAAUUCCUGGUGUAGCGGUGAAAUGCGCAGAUAUCAGGAGGAACACCGAUGGCGAAGGCAGGUCUCUGGGCCACUACUGACGCUGAGAAGCGAAAGCGUGGGGAGCGAACAGG
Molecule: ribosomal RNA, 253 nt
Filed under: uncultured bacterium
Lineage: Bacteria
Description: partial 16S ribosomal RNA
Rfam family: Bacterial small subunit ribosomal RNA
Source: RNAcentral